This 351-nucleotide ribosomal RNA is filed under the name Staphylococcus aureus. RNAcentral's name for it is "bacterial SSU rRNA". It matches the Rfam family "Bacterial small subunit ribosomal RNA", at positions 1191 to 1533 of the family's 1533-position model. Lineage: Bacteria; Bacillati; Bacillota; Bacilli; Caryophanales; Staphylococcaceae. RNAcentral also lists the same sequence under 1 other name. The record is from RNAcentral.
CAUCAUGCCCCUUAUGAUUUGGGCUACACACGUGCUACAAUGGACAAUACAAAGGGCAGCGAAACCGCGAGGUCAAGCAAAUCCCAUAAAGUUGUUCUCAGUUCGGAUUGUAGUCUGCAACUCGACUACAUGAAGCUGGAAUCGCUAGUAAUCGUAGAUCAGCAUGCUACGGUGAAUACGUUCCCGGGUCUUGUACACACCGCCCGUCACACCACGAGAGUUUGUAACACCCGAAGCCGGUGGAGUAACCUUUUAGGAGCUAGCCGUCGAAGGUGGGACAAAUGAUUGGGGUGAAGUCGUAACAAGGUAGCCGUAUCGGAAGGUGCGGCUGGAUCCCCUCCUUUCUAAGGA